Molecule: ribosomal RNA, 253 nt
Filed under: uncultured bacterium
Lineage: Bacteria
Description: partial 16S ribosomal RNA
Rfam family: Bacterial small subunit ribosomal RNA
Source: RNAcentral
UACAGAGGGUGCGAGCGUUAAUCGGAAUUACUGGGCGUAAAGCGCACGUAGGCGGCUUGGUAUGUCGGGUGUGAAAUCCCCGGGCUCAACCUGGGAACUGCAUCCGAAACUGCCUUGCUAGAGUAUGGGAGAGGGAAGUGGAAUUUCCGGUGUAGCGGUGAAAUGCGUAGAUAUCCGGAAGAACACCGGUGGCGAAGGCGGCCUGCUGGGCAGUAGCUGACGCUGAGGCGCGACAGCGUGGGGAGCAAACAGG